This 253-nucleotide ribosomal RNA is filed under the name uncultured bacterium. Its description in RNAcentral is "partial 16S ribosomal RNA". It matches the Rfam family "Bacterial small subunit ribosomal RNA", at positions 524 to 776 of the family's 1533-position model. The record is from RNAcentral.
UACGGUGGGGGCAAGCGUUGUUCGGAAUUACUGGGCGUAAAGGGCUCGUAGGUGGCCAACUAAGUCAGACGUGAAAUCCCUCGGCUUAACCGGGGAACUGCGUCUGAUACUGGAUGGCUUGAGUUUGGGAGAGGAAUGCGGAAUUCCAGGUGUAGCGGUGAAAUGCGUAGAUAUCUGGAGGAACACCGGUGGCGAAGGCGGCAUUCUGGACCAAUACCGACGCUGAGGAGCGAAAGCCAGGGGAGCAAACGGG